UGAAACCAACUCAGGAGUUUUAGUUCAUUUGCCAUGUAGCAGGAAGCACCCCGAUUAGUGAUCGGAAUGCAAUGUCUCGGCAGGUAAUGCCUCACAACCAACUGGCACGUUAAAAAGAAUGAGCAUUUGGGAAUCAGAGUAGUUCUCCAGCCUACUUUUGAGCUGAUAGAAUUUCGGUCUCUCUCUUCACUCAACAGUGUGUGGGCCCUUCUGUCAUCAAGCAAGAGACUGGCAGUCCCAGGCACUGCUGUCUCCAGGUGGCGUGAAGUAGGUCUCCUUCGCCAGAGGGGCAAGCUCGUGUUUAAAUCCACUGACGAUAUCAUCCUUGUCACAUCUGGCAGCAUUUGGGAACUUCGCCAUGGAUGGAUGUUUCGGGGAAACUCGGCAGGGAUCCUGCAGUUGAAGUGAAAAUUCGUGUGUGUCCAAGCCAACACCCCGUGUCUGUUAACCCUACACAGCAGAGACAGUAAAGGUUGCGAGUGCUCAUGAUUUCUCGGGUAAAUGGGAAAAGAGUAGGCUUGUGGCACUGAAGGGGAACCUAAUCUGCAGGACUGCUGGGGGCUUGGCAAAAUUUAACUCAACCACUGUCUGCAAAAUGCCAGCAAUGGGACCGACCAGGACAGAGCCGGUCAAGCCGAUCCAUUGCAGGGGCUUUAUCUUCGGGAAACUUCCGACCCGAACGGAGGAACCCUGGACCCUCCUGGCAUCCAUGCACCCUGUACUUGAGAGUCACCCUUGCUGAAGGCAUCGGUCGGCCACAGUCGGAAGGACACGCUUCUCCCUGCCUUCGGGACUUACUUCACUUUUACUGAGGCUGCUGUUCCGUGUCAAGAGGAAGGAUGUCAUUCUACGUAACUCCUGUGGACUAAGGAAGAAGUCCUGUAUAGACAUUUCUGACAGCACGGUGCAAGGGACACAACAACCCAGUGACACACUGCAGCAACGGAGCAAACACUCCAUGUCACCUGGGUCUUCCCGAGGGCGCCUCUCUGCUCCCCACUGCUGCCACAUAGGCGUCCUCUCCAGCCCCGUGGAGGUGGCCUUUUGUUCCCCAAGAGCCACAGAACUGCUAUUGGCUAAAUCACAGGGUGCUGAAGGCUGUGAUCGAAAUCUGGGAGACGGCAUUCAAUGUCACCUUUGAUGGUCUAAAGUCACACACAGAUAGGCUGGAGCUCCUCUGUGGCAGAGAGCACACAGAGGCUCAUUUUGGGAUUGGGCACUCACGGGGUCCCUCUGAGAAGGACGUUUGGCCCCGCAGAGCGGUGUUCUCGGGGAGGCUGUGACCUGCCGCCCUCACACAAUUGGAUCUCUUGUUUGAUAGAGAGUCCGAAGCUCCUCACCAUUAAACUGAGAAUAGCAGUGUGUUUUUUUCCUUUUCUGCUUUAGCACAUUCCAGGGACCAGGGGCCGUGCUUCCUGACUGUAACUGGGACAAGACCUUAUGGAAAUGUCCUGAGAGUCAGGCUGCGCUGGGCGGAGUUUGCAGGUACCUCUAAGUGAGGCCUGGACUUGGAGCAAGUGCAUGGAGGGUCUCCUGACGUCUGGUGGCUGUAACACAAACAUCUCCUUUUCACAGACCUUCCCCUGCAAUCACCCUGUAGCUAACUAGCCCUCCACCGAGGUGGCUGGUGGGCUCUCUUUGCAAUGACUCUGCAGCCUGUGGCCCCCGUGCCUCUGGGAGGGGAGAAGAGGCAGCAGCCAGGCGGCCCCCUCUACGGAUCACAGGGCUGUGCACCCUCAGGAACAACCGGCCUGAACCCUCCCUACAGGUCUCAUCCACGGGAGUGCCUGCUUCAUAAAGCGUGGUGAUUUUCUCCAAGUUUUCCCUAGGACCAACAGACAAACGCAUUUAGAAAAAGGGAAUGAGAACAAGUUAACCUGCAAAGAGGUGAAGGGAAUCAGACUUCAAAAGGAGGAACCCUCCUAGUAAAGAGCUGAAUAAAGGAAGAAAACCACAGGAUUACAAGUCGGGCAAAUUCGUGUCCUUUUGCUCACGGUGGAAAACAGGAACUUUUUCACGGGAUCAUCGUAUCCACAUGCACUGGAAUUGGGCAAGUCAGGCCGAAACCUCUACAGGGUGGGCGAAAGUAGGUUCACAGCUGUGACUACACAAAACACAGAGUUUAUUCUUGUAUUAUAUGUUUUUCCAUACAGACAACUGUAAGCCCACUUUUGCCCACCCCUGUAUUUUGUUCACAGAGCUCAGGUUUGUAGGAAUUGCUCAGGCUUUUAUUAUCUCAUGGACCAGACAUAGACAGAGUGACCCUGUUAUUUUUGGUUUAUCUCAAGGUUCAAAUUCUUUUUUGUUUGUUUGUUUGUUUCCUGACUGUGGCCUGCCCUAUCCGUAAUCACAAUGGAAGGAGAACGAAGUAUUUCUUUGCUUCCCAACUCCUUCCUUUGUCCAAGUUCCUGCCCCUCAGGUGUGGAUUCGGUUAUACAAGAUGCUCAGUAAGUUUCUGAUUCAGUAUCAUUAGCAUGAUGGUUUAUUUUAUUGGUGAGUUUAAUUUUCACAGGAAUAGCAGACAUUUAAUAUGCAAAGGUCCUUUCGUACUUUCCAAAAAAAAAAACAAACUAGAGCAAUGUGAUAUUGAGCCUUAAGAGUUCCCUCUAUCUGGAGGCCUUGUAAAGGCCCUAACAGAAUAAAUUUAGCAUUUCACAUGUAUUUUAUUAUCCUUGUCAGCUUGUCCAUUGAGGUCAUGAACCAAGAACAAUCACAGUCACUUCUGCCAGGCUUCCCUGCAGUAGCUUUGACUGUUGGGUGUGUGUAUUAUUCUGGGCUUUUCAGAGAAACAGAACCAAUAAGAGAUUGAGAGAAAAAUAGAUACAUAGAUAAUAGAUAAACGAUGGUAGAUUAGAGAAUAGAUAGAUGGUGGAUUAGACAGAAGGAUACUAGGUAGAUGAUAGAUUAAAUAGGAGGUAUAUAGAUGAUAAGAUAGGUAGAUGAUAAGGAAUUGGAUCCCAGGACGGGUGGGGGGGGGGAGUGGGGGGUGGGCAGUGCGGUGUCCCAUGAUCUGCAAGGUCAGGAGUGGAGAAAGCUACUUCUGAGAGCCAGGAGCAAUGAUGCUGCAAGUUUCCCUCUGCGGGCAGGAGACAGCUAUCCCAGCCCAGGCAGAUGGAGGGAGGGGAGGGAAAACCCUGGCCCUCAGCAAGUUGGAGGAGACCCACCCACCCGGGACAGAGGCAGUCUAAUCUCACCUGGGAACACCCUCACAGACACACCCAGAGAUGAUGUUCACCAAGAACACCAGCAGCCCAGGACCCAGACGUGGAAAGGACCAUCACAGUGUAUCAGGGUCUCCUCGGUCCCAGAUGAGGCCUUGUCUGUCACAGUUCCAGGCCCGCCUUCGAGGUGGGGUUCCAUGACCUCUGAGCAGUGAGAUCCGGCCUGUGUGUGGGAAGAUACCAAAGGCCUCGUUCCCUGCACCAAGGCGUGGUCCCGGGCUGUCUCACCUAAUCAGACGGGAUUUCUGGCAUGAUCCUGGCAGAGAUUUGAUUUGAUUUGUCCAACUGUAUGCUGGUUGGAAAAGAAGGCUUUCUUGUUGAACCUAUGGAAACCACGCCACGGUGACACAGUGUGGGAGUCAGUGAAGGCACUGUGAGUCAUGUGUAGCCAUUGUUGUCAUUUUAAAAAGUAUUUUUUACAGAAUCAUUAUUCAUAAGUAUUCCCUCCUGAUUUAUUCAUUUAGAAUGUAUGAUAAGAUCUUUUAUAGGAUUCCACCUCCACCCCAGAACCUGAGGGUAUGGUUGGAACAAGGUACCAUGGAAAGAGUGUUUCCUACCAGCAUAACAGUGUGAGCUGUUAAAUCAGGGGUCAGAUUUAUACACGAGCCAUGGACAAGGAAAAUAUUAUAGGGAUUGACAGAGAGGAGAGGGUGGGGCUGGGCAGAGGUGGGGAAGUGAGAAAAGGUGGGAUCAACUGCAGUAGCAUAAGUAAUAGAAAAAUUAAACAUUUAAAUAAAUUUAAAAAAAUUGAGGAUCAGAGUUCAAUUAAGAAGAAAGAAAUGUUUUCCUCACGUGUGCAUGUACAAAUAGUACACUGGCCAUGAUUAAAUCAGUUCAUUCUGUUCAUUUAGUUCUAGGGAGUUCAUUUGAGUUUUGCUGAUCUCAGACUAAAUAGUUUAUUCCCAUGAAGUCAUUUGCUUUUGGAGAGGGGAGUUCUGGGAAUCCUGAUUCGGUUGCCUGAUAGUCUCUCAGAGAAGGGUGACGGUGUCAUCUUAUAAUGGGGAGCUUGUGCCCCUGAGUCUAGGCUACUCCUUGCAGUUUCAACUGCUCUCUGCCCCAGUGCUUUGCUGAAGCUCUUCUGAUUUUUUUUAUUUUCCAGAAGACUCAAUUUCUGAUCUGUUCUUAUAGCAGGGACCUUCAGGUGAGCGUGCACAAAAAGUGGAAGACGCCGGUGGAGAACAAGACUCAAGGGUCUGGUUUAUCUGCUGUGAUAACCACUGAUAGAAGGAUGCAGGAACGUUGCACCCUCUAUUACGGGACAAUAAGUAAAUGAUUUAUAAAGAUGUAGUUAUUGCUUAUCCUGAGGGUAAGAACAGCUUAUAAACAGUGAGGACUUUUUCAAAUCUCCAGGGUCUUUAAAUUUACCCCUCAAAGGGUUUUCUGGGUGUCAUCAAUUGACAAGAGUAUUUAUAUAGAAAAUAGAGGUGUAUUUUAAAAAUUAAUCUACAGGAUCUGGCACAAAUAAUGCCCCUCUUUGUUCCAAAAUCAUUUAUUACAAAAUCAUAAGCAUGUAAUUCUGUAACAUAAUAGUAUAACACUCAAGCACACCACAUUGAUGAGGGACUUGAAAGUGGGAACAUUUUAGUUUAAGUAACAGCUAAUAAGCUCAGUAAUGCACGUAAAAGCCAUUGUUCCAGGGACUGAAGGUGUGACCCACCCUGACUUCAGGAGACCUUAAACAGUCCCACCAUUGUGCCUCUGGCAGACUGCAAGGAAUCUGAGAUUGUAUCUGAGCCACUGUGCUCCAGGACAAGAACCCUGCAGUUUUUUUAUCCAAUUAACUUCUCACUGAAUUCCAAACCCCUUACCUAUACUUUGUUCUCUCUAUAAAAAAGCCAUUUUAAAAUAGAAUGUAAGAUGGUCUGUUAGGGUACAAACCUGCUGUCUUUUCAGAUCGCCGGCCAUUUGAAUAAAGUGCCCAUAAAGAUUCA
Long non-coding RNA from Artibeus jamaicensis (Jamaican fruit-eating bat), 5152 nucleotides. RefSeq lists it as uncharacterized. Lineage: Eukaryota; Metazoa; Chordata; Mammalia; Chiroptera; Phyllostomidae. The transcript is spliced from 2 exons. The record is from RefSeq and is a predicted model, not a curated record.